GACGAACGCUGGCGGCGUGCUUAACACAUGCCAGUCGAACGGAAAGGCCCUGCUUUUGUGGGGUGCUCGAGUGGCGAACGGGUGAGUAACACGUGAGUAACCUGCCCUUGACUUUGGGAUAACUUCAGGAAACUGGGGCUAAUACCGGAUAGGAGCUCCUGCUGCAUGGUGGGGGUUGGAAAGUUUCGGCGGUUGGGGAUGGACUCGCGGCUUAUCAGCUUGUUGGUGGGGUAGUGGCUUACCAAGGCUUUGACGGGUAUCCGGCCUGAGAGGGUGACCGGCUACAUUGGGACUGAGAUACGGCCCAGACUCCUACGGGGGGCAGCAGUGGGGAAUAUUGCACAAUGGGCGGAAGCCUGAUGAAGCAACGCCGCGUGCGGGAUGACGGCCUUCGGGUUGUAAACCGCUUUCGCCUGUGACGAAGCGUGAGUGACGGUAAUGGGUAAAGAAGCACCGGCUAACUACGUG
This 468-nucleotide ribosomal RNA is filed under the name uncultured bacterium. RNAcentral's name for it is "partial 16S ribosomal RNA". It matches the Rfam family "Bacterial small subunit ribosomal RNA", at positions 28 to 507 of the family's 1533-position model. The record is from RNAcentral.